This 253-nucleotide ribosomal RNA is filed under the name uncultured bacterium. RNAcentral's name for it is "partial 16S ribosomal RNA". It matches the Rfam family "Bacterial small subunit ribosomal RNA", at positions 524 to 776 of the family's 1533-position model. The record is from RNAcentral.
UACGGAGGGGGCUAGCGUUGUUCGGAAUUACUGGGCGUAAAGCGCACGUAGGCGGCGAUUCAAGUCAGAGGUGAAAGCCCGGGGCUCAACCCCGGAACUGCCUUUGAAACUAGAUCGCUAGAAUCUUGGAGAGGUCAGUGGAAUUCCGAGUGUAGAGGUGAAAUUCGUAGAUAUUCGGAAGAACACCAGUGGCGAAGGCGACUGACUGGACAAGUAUUGACGCUGAGGUGCGAAAGCGUGGGGAGCAAACAGG